GCUUUCUACGUAUAAACUAAAAUUAUAUAUUAGAAUUGUUAAGACUUUAUGCUUAUGAAUUUAAAUGAUAUUGUCAAUGCCUAAAUGCUUUAUGUUUUAUUAUUAAUUGCCUAUCUGAUGUUAAUCGAAUUCGGAUUCUGGAUGGGACCGCAAAUCCCUUCGGAAUUAGUGUACACCUUGUGAUCGUGAGUCAUCUAGCGGGUUGGCCGAUCAUAGUGUCCGUAGGGG
Molecule: long non-coding RNA, 228 nt
Filed under: Salvia miltiorrhiza (redroot sage)
Lineage: Eukaryota; Viridiplantae; Streptophyta; Magnoliopsida; Lamiales; Lamiaceae
Description: long non-coding RNA (SMIL_LNC003729)
Source: RNAcentral